UAUGUUUGGUUUAAAGGAAAGGGGAAGGAAAGAAAGUCAGAGGAAGGAAAGAUGGUGGAAAGUGAAUCUUUCCACUGUUUGGAACAACCUUAAAAAGUGAAGGAAAGAAAAUUUUAUGUGGACCCCACCCAAAAAUCCUUUCCGCGCUACUUUGGACGGAAAGCGGGAAGAGCGACCAAAAUUUUGGGCAAAAGGACAAUAAUGCCCUUCUCUUUCAUCAAAUUCUAUUUGUCUUUUUGAAUACCCUUCAAAUCAAAAUCCUUCAAAAAAAUUGCUUGCUCUGGUUCUUGUUUACCUUCCAAAAUCAAACUGGUCCAUUUCAUUUGUUCUACUUCCACAACCUUUCAGUUGCUUUGUAAGUCCAAUUAGUCAUGGAAGUCAUGAAAGGGAGCGUAAACGUCUCGAUUUAAUGAGACAAUUAGUACAUACUGAAAAAUGCCGAGACAUAAUACGAAUGGGACCUGAGGCAUUUAUGUUAUUGUGUCAUAAAUUGAGGGGAACUGGUUAUGUGAAGGAUACUAUACGAUCCACAGUUGAAGAACAAGUUGCUAAGUUCCUACACAUCAUUGGUCAUAAUGUGAAAAAUCGCACCGUGUCAUUCUUCUUCCGCCGUUCUGGUGAGACUGUUAGCCGUCACUUUCACAAUGUUUUACGUGCCAUCAUUUCAUUAGAAGAUGAGUUCCUAGUCCAACCUUCUGGUAGGGAUGUACCUCCACAAAUAUUAAACAAUAGCAGAUUCUAUCCUUUUUUUAAGGAUUGCAUUGGAGCUAUAGAUGGAACACAUAUUCGGGUAAAGGUCCCAAGAGCG
This is a long non-coding RNA of Glycine soja, 808 nucleotides long. RefSeq lists it as uncharacterized. NCBI's taxonomy places the organism in Eukaryota, Viridiplantae, Streptophyta, Magnoliopsida, Fabales, Fabaceae. The record is from RefSeq and is a predicted model, not a curated record. The transcript is spliced from 3 exons.